Molecule: long non-coding RNA, 3693 nt
Organism: Pongo pygmaeus (Bornean orangutan)
Lineage: Eukaryota; Metazoa; Chordata; Mammalia; Primates; Hominidae
Exons: 11
Source: RefSeq, a predicted model, not a curated record
UCUCAACUUUCUCAUGGGAAUCAUAAGAGAUAUGAGACCCAGGGUUUUUUCAGUCUCUUCCCAGCUACAGUCCACAUAUUUCCUCCACAUAUGUUUGGGUGUCAAAAGACCCUUCAGAACCUUAAAUCCACCCAGUUUAUACUUGUUCCUAGGCUAUGUCGUCUUAGUCCCAGAACCUGGGAAGAUGCCACCAUACCUAGAGGAGGCCAUGAGGCUGUCACAUCUAACAUUCUGUGGAUAUGACCUGCUUAUGCGCUCUACUGUACAACCACAGGGCUCCCCAUGAGGUGAUGUCAUUGAAUUUUCCUGGCUGAAGAGUCGUCCAUUUUGUACACACAUGGGAGUUUAUUUUUUCAUCUGCAUAUGGACGCAUUCCUGAGACUUCAGAAACAUUCCAUGGAGAAUUGAGAAGAGAGUAUUUUUUGAGCCAGAAAUUGCUUCCCUGUGGAGUUUGUAUAUUCCUAGGGGCUGGUGGACAGGGGAAGUCUGACAGGCCAGACCUGGGAAGAAGUGCGUGCUGGAACCACACCCAGGGAGGGCACAGCUUCCAGGUCAGCCUCAGUGAGUACAAGCUCCGUCACCCAGCCCUGGGGAAUUUGUGGGGUAGGAGGGGGUUGGCACAGCUGUGGCUGCCCACUGCACAGACCCUGAGAGAGAUCCACAGUGUCUCCUGCUGCUCUCUCGCCAGACUGCAUUCCCUCAGUAGAGACCAUGUGAGUGGCGUCGGCCUGAAAGCCUGAAGGACAUGAGCAGAAUGUCACCCCCAUCCAAUGAAAGGAGGCGGCGGGGAGGCUGCAGAGGGCUCUGGGAGCAAAGUCCUGGGCAGCUCUUUCCACAGAGGCCAGGGAAGGAGCUGAUUGUGACUUGGGUCUCACUGGGCUGUGGGGUCCUGCUCUGGAACAAAUACACAACAUUACUAGGGAGAGAUAGGGCUUUGGAAAAAGAAGAGACAUUUUAAAUGCAAUGACAUGCUGAGGGGAUGACAGAAUACAUCAUUGAUGAGCAGAUUGAACAAGUGAAGUGUUCAACAAAGAGCCUGAAGGCAGCCAAACAGGAGAGGGAAUAUCAGGAGGGUUGAUGGCUGAUCCCAGGGAUCUGGAGGAGGAAGGAGAAAGAACCCAAGAGAAACCACAGGGUAACUGUGUCCCUAGAGGAAUGGUGAGAGAGGGAUAGGGAUAAAGCUGAGUGUUGUAGAUGGGUUGACCAGGUGGGUUUUAUUGUUGUUAACUGACUUGCAGAGAGAGAGAGAGAGAAAGAAGAGAGAGAGAGAGAGAAGAGAGAGAGAGAGAGGAGAGAGAGAGACAGAGAGAGAGAGGAGAGAGAGAGAAGAGAGAGAGAGGAGAGAGAGAGAGACAGAGAGAGAGAGGAGAGAGACAGAGAGAGAGAGGAGAGAGAGACAGAGACAGAGAGAGAGAGAGAGGAGAGAGAGAGAGAGGAGAGAGAGAGAGAGAGCACAAGAGAUUCUCCCGGGAGCUGGUGGGGCCAGGCCACACUGUCCACCCAACUCUGGUGCUUAUUCCAGUACAGAAGGAGGUGACUGUUACUCCCAGAUGGUAGGGCUGGCUGAGUGAGCACAGACUUCAGGCAGGACCCUGGAAGGGAAGACGGGGCACACAGCUGCUGGCACAGAGCCUGACACAGGAAGACACAGCCACUCUUUUAUGAUGAUGAGUGAUGGGCAUUGACAUAUCGCUGCUUUGACAUCUGAGGAGCCUAUGCUGUCUCCUCUGCUGAUACCCAGCUGUGCACUUUCUCAAGAGAAAACCUGUAUCAAUAAUCAUUAAUAAAAUGUACCUAGAUCACCUCUCUACUCAUUGCUGGAACUUUUACCUAGUGUCCUUUAUGAAAGAAAUACCUAGUGUUUUUAUGUAAGAAACUAUUUCAACAUUUCUUCAAAUUAUCUCCCGUAUUACUUGCUGAGUUUUGUAAUUAUUUUCCUAUAGAUAUGUUUGAAGUUUAUCAUUUUUAGCAAGACUAGAAUAAUAAACAUUCUGCACUACUUUUAAAAUUAUAUAAGCAAUAUAUUUGAUCUUAUUAAGUAUAAACUUGAUAAUUUUAUUAUUCAUUCCAAUAAAUUUUUAACAAUGUUUUAAUGUUAUUCAUAUGUAGUUGCCUUUAAAAUGUUAACACAUUUAUGUAAACUUUUUGUGCUAUUCUAAUAUCCUUGACCUCUUAUUUCUCAGAAACAAAUUUCUACCACAGAGAAGAAAUAUUAGACGUUAUAUCAAAAAUGGAGUAUGUUGUGAAUUUUAAAAACCUUUUAAAAUAUGGCUUUUUAACCAUUUUUUAAAUUUUUAUUUAUUUUUUUAUUAUACUUUAAGUUCUGGGAUACAUGUGCCGAACGUGCAGGUUUGUUACAUAGGUAUACACGUGCCAUGGUGGUUUGCUGCACCCAUCAACCCGUCAUCUACAUUAGAUUCUGGUCUUUCUUAUGGGGAACCUGAGUUCCUGCAUUAAAGAGGGUGGCCCAGGAGAAGCUCAAUUCAUGCUUGUUAACCAACCACAUCCAUAAGUUCUAGCCCUUUGUUCAUGUCACCACCAAUGAACUGACAGUCAUGCUGCGUCCUUUCAGUUCCCCCAGAAGAUCAAUGGAAGGUGGAUUCCAAAGAGUGGGCAAAUGAGGACCCCUUCUCUGUUACCAAGGUGACCCCAAGGAACACAAUAAAUGAAAUUCUAAGAAGAUAUAGCGUCUACACCAAGAGGCACAUGACACAACCUGGACUCUGGGCAAACCACCGGGUGCACUCACAUGAAGUGAGGGCUUAUUUGGCCUCCCCAGGAUGGACUGGAGCAUCAGUAGUGCCUGAGUUCAUCACAGGACAGAUGCUCAAGACACCCUGAUCACCAUUAGGUGGAAUUGAAGGAGCCAAAAGCGGGCGCAGUGGCUCCUCAGCAGAGACGCUCCUGAAUGUAUAGACAUGGGAACCACCUUCAGCAUCAAAAAAGGAAACAUUCUGCAUGCCCAUAUCCAGAAAAAUCCCCACUCGCUGUAACUUGCGGUCUACGAAGAGGAAAGUCAGGGGCACCGUGCUGGCAGAGAGGUGGCCUCCAGCCCUCAAACUCACAGUCCAGAAUCCAUGCUCUGUGGUCAGCUGGAUCUUCCCUUUGCGGUGAACAGAUUCUCUGCAGACUCCCAGGUCCCAUUCUGUGCUUGUUCCCACGUCCACCUCCCAGUAAUGGCGGCCACAGGUAAAGCGAGGGGAGCCCAGGACACAAAUGGACAUGUCAAAUCUCUCAGCAAGGUCUUGCCGAUUCUGUGUGAUGCACCCACUUCGGACGCUCCUGAGGUCAUCAGAAAUGAGGAGGAAGUUGUUGGCUGUGUCGCCAUCCAAGGUCAUAUCCACUGUGAAAAGAAAAAAAAGUUGCUCAGCAAAUGGACAGAAGCCAACUCCAUGCCUCUCUUCUACUUCAAAGGCCCAAAUAUCUCUUGACUUUAGUUUCUUUAAUUCCUUUCUUCCUCCAAAAUCAAAACUUUUCAUGAGGAAACUUCCCUAUUUCAAAUUCUCAUAGGUAUGCUUUGUGGCAAUACAUCACUCUUAUUCACAGGAGCAAUUCUUAUUUUACUUUAUGUCAUGUGUUUGCUUCAUUGAACUUUUCUUCAUUUCGAGUGGAGGGUCUCUGAAGGCAGACACCAUGCCCCGCUUUCUACCACCUUGAUGUGUGAACAAAUAAAUGAUAAUUAAGACAAUGCAA